CUUCCUGUUAAGAAGAACAUCAGGGUGCAGGUGGCCCUGGAUGACAUACAUCCGCGCGUGCCAGAAAUCAGGGCCCUGCACCAGAGGGCGCUUCCUAUGUCUUUCACUGCUGUGAUUUCAUAGUUGCUUCCCUUUAUCAACAACAUGGGAUUUCCCCAAUGGGAAGAGAAGUGAUCCAGAGUUGAUGUAAACCAGCCACAUUCCCUGGAAAUGUGUGUAUCCCAGGACCCAGAGCUAGGCCCUGGGGUUACAAGCCAAGGCAGCGGGAUCACCACAAGACUGAUGUUAACAGUAAACCCUCCAGGGGUUUCUUUACGCAGCUAACGGGCACUGCAGCUCAGCGCUGGGCAUUCAUGAGUCAUUCAGCAGGAACAAAGAAGCUUCAGUCUGCAACUUCCACGGGGAAGCAGUUGAAACAGUGUGGGCUCACACGUUUUUUUGAAAUCUGAAAACACUCCUUCGAGGUGCCCUUAAGCACCUGACAGCAGCUGUUCUCCCUUGACAGCUGGAUUCCGAACGUAAACAUCAUUUGUCGGAACGCGUCGGAAUUGUGUGCAUGCAGAUGUAGACGGCUGUGUGGCAGGGGCUGCUGGGAAGCCGCUUUGAGACACUUUCUGCUCGUCUGUCUCUACCAGCCCAGUGUGUGUUCGCAGAUGGAUUCAUUGCGGUGUUUCAUAAGGAGGUCAAAAGUCAAGCCGGCAUCCUUUCUCUUCUUAGGGGCAACUCUCCAACUCUCGGAUUCAAUCCCCAAGUCAGUGUGAGGCGAAGACAUCUAAGUCAAAGGGGCAAGAGGAGAGCAAAGUGAAGUCCUGCAAGUCCCUGAGCCCAAGAUUCACUCAUCCAGGCCCUGGCACCUUCAGCCCGCAGCGACCUGUCUGGGAGCUGCUGCACCUGUCUCCGCUCCCUGCAUACCUGUGCCCACCUGUCCGCACCGGCACGCCUAGGGAGCAGUUAUAAGACAAAGCACCGAGAAUCAUUCAACAUUGACCACACGUUGAAUCAACUCUACAGGAUGAACCUUUCUUUCCUCUGUGAGCUGAAGUGCGGGACAGUGACAAGAGCAGAAAUUUUGGAGCGAGACAGAUGAGCACUGGAAUCCCUGCCCCACCGCUGUGUGAGAUUUGGGGCAAAAUAUGUAAGAUCCUUGACACUCAGUUCCUUUUCUGCAAAACGGAGGUAAUAAGUUGUAUACAACUUAGCAGCUGUG
This 1207-nucleotide long non-coding RNA is filed under the name Equus caballus (horse). Its description in RNAcentral is "lncRNA (ENSECAG00000050351.1)". Lineage: Eukaryota; Metazoa; Chordata; Mammalia; Perissodactyla; Equidae. The record is from RNAcentral.